GCUUACGGCCACACGGCCUGGUUCACGCCCGAUCUCGCUUUGAUCUCGGAAGCUAAGAUAGGUUGGGCCUGGUUAGUACUUUGAUGGGAGACCGCCUGGGAAUACCAGGUGCUGUAAGCU
This 120-nucleotide ribosomal RNA is filed under the name Scophthalmus maximus (turbot). Lineage: Eukaryota; Metazoa; Chordata; Actinopteri; Pleuronectiformes; Scophthalmidae. The record is from RNAcentral.